CGCUGACGGCACCGGCCGUAUUGUCGAUGGCGGCCAAGUUACUCCAGCGUUGCUGCUCAAUGUGCGCUACCUAACGAUUGGCCGUGGGCAAUAGUCGAUGACCCUCUGCAAAUGUAGACGCUAGAGUGCACUAUAAAAGGGGUUACAAUUAGGGUCGAGGGUAGCGGCUGCAGUUGACUAUUCCUAAAAGUAACGUUCGUACGAUUGACCUUUGCCCUGUUCUAUGUUCAUCAGUACCAUAGGGUGGACCUGCUACCGGUAGCUGUGGCUGAAUCACGCAAAGAGGACGUCAGAAAUCGACACGGGUUUUGAACAUUUGAACGAAGAGGCUAAUGAGAUGUUGUGCUUAUUAAGUAAAAGCUAAAAAUGAUGUGCCCUGGCCUUCAGCCUGGACCAAAGGAUACAGCCAAACCCAGAACGGCAACAGCCAGCAAACACCACUCCGUUUAUUUGCGGUGGCAUCUGCUUGAGUUCGUAUAGACCCAAGUUGCCAUCGACGCGAUAGAAGCCAUCGUGACGCACUAGUUUGGUCGAAUCGAUUGACGAGUGAACCGUUUUUGCCACAAGUGGAUCAAAUCAGCUGCGUCGUCGAUCAAGCAACGAAGAUAACAUCGACAAGUACUAAGUAUCGGCAGCAGAGGGUCGGUUUACCCGAUGUUGGUUAGGCUUGUUCCUGCUACUUUAGGCUUUUAUUGUAUCUCGGUAAAUUCGGAGUUAAGCUUAGCUGACGCGCUUUCUUUUAGUUUGUUUCUUGACUGGCGCAUGCACCAUUCCUCCUUCUUCCCAUAUUCCUUGUAACUGUUUGACAACUGUGAAACCGUGUGGGCCCGUCCCCUGCUCGCCCGUUCUCGCCGGUGUCGUUGCCAAGUUGUCGACAAGUCACUGCCGACAUGACAACGGCGAUCUUCCUUUUUGCAGUCAGGAAGAGCAAAAACUUAGGGGAUUAAGGUAGAGGUAAAGGGGGCGGCAGAGGUUUAAAUAUAAGAUGGCCAACUCUUCUACUUCUAAUGAGAAGAAAAUACUAAGCGUGAUUGGCGCUUGGCUAUCUGCUAGAAAAAGCGAACUGUAUAAACUUAAACAUGAAUGCUAUAAUUAUAUUAAUGCUAUUGUAUAACAACGUUUUGAUGAUGAACUACUACUAUUUUGGAGUCAGACUUGUUUUGAAAACAAAGAAAAAUGCAUUAUGCAUAAAUGUGUUUCACAGCUAGAUCAAUCGCGCUGAAAUCGUUUCAUUUGAAGUGCCAAACUUACGGGAGCGUAGCACGUAUGGCUAAUACUUGUCUCCGAGUGCAUUGCCAUAGUGACAAAUAUGAUGUUUCUAGCUCAAGUCUCAGCGUUGGUAAACAAAGAAUUUAUAAAAAUAGAGGCAACAAGUAAAGGUUGAUAGCUACAGCAGUUAGUUACUCCGCAGCCUCGCAAGUUUGUUGAGGAACUUCAUACAAGCCCAACAAAUAGCUUCCAGCGCUCUUUGAAACAAUAUUCAAGGCCGACAUAGCAGAGUAACUCGAAAGGGUCAGCUCGAAAUCACACGCUCACUUGAACCAAAACUCCCCUGUGUAGCGUCCUCCAUCCAAGAAUCAGGAGAAGGAUUACUUCAUUGUUGACAUUGUUUUUUAUGUUUCGUUGAUUAUGGUCGACGUGAGCAUGACGAUAUCAAAAAACCAAUACGAUUGGUUUUGCGUUUUCUUACCGAGUGAAGCUUAUUUAUAAACGGAUAAGGCGAAAAGGCUGUAGGCAUUAUAGUUUGUUCCACUUCGUAUAGCAUCUCCAUUAACGUUCCACCAGUUGGAAAGAAAACGGUCCAAAUGGUUAGGCUGCUUUGCACUGAGCUCUAAUGGGUAAAUGAAUAAUGGGAAAACUGAAAAACGAAAGUAUUCACAGGUGUUUACCCCAUCUGCUCUCUGAGGACUUCAUUUUAUUUCAAAUAUUUUUUCAAUCUCUUCAACUAUGCCCCUUUAUUGCCGUGUUUCUUUAAUUUUUUAUAGAACGACAGAAGCAAUAUGGGCAAAAGACUUACCAGAAACGAAAGAUUUACUUUACGAAGACUGCAGUGUAUUCACGUUAGUUGAAAAAUUGAAGGCGAGAGAGUUAUGCCGUGCGGUGUAUUCCCUUAUGGAGAUGAUAUAUCACAUAUUAUCUAUUUUUGUCAAUACCAGGCUAAUUCUGUCGGCUGGACGCUGUUUGCUGUUAUUCUUUAUUGGAUGCAGCCCGUGUGAUCUGUUAUUACUCGGAAAAUUCGGCCGAAUCAGGAUAAAGGUUUUAUAGUUUUUUUCAGUUUGUAACUUUACUUCAUUGACGGUCGCGCGAUCAGACUGACUGGCGUCACAAUGCAGCUGUUAACCUGCCUGCGGUUGGUUGCCUCAGUUGGACACCUGUAACUUAGUUACCGCCUGCGGACUUCCGUACAUACACAGUUAUAAUCGACAAGCACAGAUAAUUUUUUGGACUUAAAUACAGAUUUAUGCAGCCUUUGCUAAUAGGCUCAGAUGUCUGCUAUUUAAGUUUGUGAUGCGACCCGGAUAAUGGGUUCCUCACGACGAUCCACGCGCUCCACCGAAGAGCACCUAUCGCUUGGCCUUCCUGUGCUCUUCAGCGAGUUGUUGGUCUUCAAAUGGACGCCGAAUAAUGGUUUUCCCGCGGUAACGGAUGAGUUCCGGUUGACAUUCGACCACAUGCAAGAGGUUGAGAAUUUAGGCAAUGAGCUUCGAGUGUUCUUCGCGUCGUAUGAUGAAGCGCUUACUGCACUCGAGAAUUCCGAGGUUCGUCGGAAUACAUUUCGUUUUCUUGAUCAGUACGGCACCAUUGAAGACCUCCUGAAAAAUGAAAUUCUACGAACAAUAAAUGUUAACCGCGGACUGAUACCUGAGUGUCUAGAGGAACGAAUCCGAAAUCAGCAGAAAUGGUACAAAGGCGAUGACAACUUCUCGUUAGAAUUUGCACGGGAAUUUCUUAGAAGAAAGUUCAGUGCGGUGCGAAACCCAUUUCACACGCCACAACCGACAGGCCUUCUGCCGCCCCUUCCACCACCUCGAAAACACAAAUUCGGCAGCAGUAAUCCACAGCAAAGCUUGCGACCACCUGAUGGACAUUUAUUUGACUCGGUGCAACCUCCGAUGUCACAAGCUAUGUCCGUUUACACGGCUUCGGGCCGACCUCGAAGGAACUCAGCUCCCCUGAAUGCUUUGAGUCCACCUAAACCCCGAAGACACGUUCCCAUCGAACAGUUGCCCUCACCUCCGCCGACACCUCCACCUCUGCGCAGCCAGCGAGAGAUGACUCAAUACGCUGAUAGCGUGAGUCCCACCGACAAUGUCAGCAACGGCAGUGUUAACGAUCCACGUACAACAGAAAUCACCUCUGAACACGCCGCCGAAAAUGGAGCAGUACCACUAUUGCGAGCUGAAAUCACCUCAAACGAUCAAGCUGAAACAUUAAGCACGGCUGACGUAACCGAUGUCGCGGUAAACACUAGUUCAUCCUGUCUUGCCACGUUCAACUGUAUGACGAAUCAAAGGAAAAGUGGUACAGAAGAGACUGGGGGGGCCGUUGAGGUCAGUCAAGAUGAGUCCAGUAUCCUUCGUACAGUGCCGACUGAUUUCGUACAAAAUACUCUGACAACUACUGAUACAACAAUGACCUCCCCAUUACAAAAAAGCGACAAUGGUAUUUUUCUGCUUGAAAUGAUUCCUGGAUUAGUGGAUCAUGUUGCUCAAGAGGCUGCUGAUGGCUUUGCUCAACGAGUGUUUUUCAAAGACAGCAGCAGUAGCGCCGCUUCGAUUCAGCGAAAUAACAGCAGCGAUAGACCUAGUGAUAAUGAUGAUAUGAUGAAUAAUAACAACAAUAAGAUAAUCGAUAACAAUAACGCAAACAAUAUAGUGAAAAGGACGGGGAUGCUGGCCGUAACAGACAAGCUAAUUAAAGAUGAGAAUCGGCUGCUAGAAUAUGAUCGACUACCUCAAGAGACGGCUAUGUGACCUGUGUGGACAAAGGGCUGACAAUGCAGAACAGCUGCAAUUGCACAUGAUUCAGUCGCUUGUAAAGCAAUCAGAGUACAGUCACCAGGUAUCUACUAGAUCAAAGACGGAUCUGCUGUCUGCUAUGUGCAUGCAGUGCGGCCCAGCUUUUUAUUUGAUCUUUUGCUGCAGGCAUGUACGGAAGUUACUUGGCUACGAAGCCAGGUCCGCGUAUCUUGCGCCUUCCGUAGUAGUGAAGUGCAGGGACACUCCAAAGUCAAAAGUUGUAAAACGCUCUCAAGGUACGAUGGGUCGAGCGAGAAAGAAAUACUGGAAUAUUGCUAUUCGUAAAAGCGAAUGGAGGAGGGAAGAUCUAAGCGUGAUUUGGGUAGAAACCAACCGACGCCACUACAAAUGGGACUGCGUUAGCAUUGUUAAAAUUAAAGCAGUGAUCGAAUUAGCAGUCUGAAGAAAUACAGUGCGGUCAUUAUUUUUGAGAAGUAAAAAUAAAGUUUUGAAUUAUUAAUCUUGAAGAAAUCCUAGUAGUUUUCAAAACUUAAUGAAUAUGACUUUACAGUAUUUUUUUUUUGUUGCAGAUUAGCAUAGAUGAGCUUGCAGCACAUUGUCAGUUUUUUAUUGUCUUUAUGACAAACGAUCUUUUUUGAGACGUUGCUGUUCGAAUCAUAUAAGGUAAAAUUAUCAUUUUGUCCUAUGUAUUUAAGUAUAUUAUCCUAAAACGUAAGUCAUAUUUGUUUAUCGUUUUCUCUUUUAUCUAUAUAAUAACUAUUUACAGAGAGUACGAAGGGCUGUAAAAACGGCUUUUCUCUACAGUGUACACAAGGACGCACCAUUUUACAAACGGUUACUUAUUGCGACCAUUCACGAGGACUUCUCAGACAUUCUCAAGGUUUUAGCCCUUUCAGAAUGAAUUCAAACGCAAAUUAGUUAAUCGCUUAAAUUGUCAAUUCCGUUCGAGACCAUUUAGAAUGGAUAAUCGUUUUAGUGCCAACCGAUCUUGGCCAAUUCUGAUAGUUUUUCGGAACGAUUUUACAUAUUACGGGUUCUCAAUUCAAACAAAGAGUAAUAUCCAAUUUACCAUAAUAAAUAAUGAAGAAUUUUUUACAAUUUACUGCAUAAUAAUUAUAAUUCUUCUCCGUCUCUCUGAACAUCGCAGUAUUAUAGCACCGCUAGA
Molecule: non-coding RNA, 5145 nt
Organism: Varroa destructor (honeybee mite)
Lineage: Eukaryota; Metazoa; Arthropoda; Arachnida; Mesostigmata; Varroidae
Source: RefSeq, a predicted model, not a curated record